CAUGCCUCCAGACUGUUCAAUGAUGUCGUAGAUGAGCUUGGAGGUUUCUUCAUCCUUCAUCUCGGCCUCGGAGAUCCCAGCACAGGACAGCAGCUUCAGCAGGGAGAUCAGUGGUCUACAGUCUAUCUACACAACAGCACAGGGUGACUGCGUGGAUGUCCACAAUAUCAGAUAAGGAAGCUAUGGGUGAAGGCAUGGAGCGGUAACGCGAGGCCUGGAUAUCAGGGUUCUGGAUGUCCAUGGUGGCCAUGGAGGGAGAACCAGGGAGGCCAGAUCCUACAUUUUGCAGCA
Lampris incognitus (smalleye Pacific opah) is the source of this 291-nucleotide long non-coding RNA. RefSeq lists it as uncharacterized. The transcript has 3 exons. NCBI's taxonomy places the organism in Eukaryota, Metazoa, Chordata, Actinopteri, Lampriformes, Lampridae. The record is from RefSeq and is a predicted model, not a curated record.